UACGGGGGGGGCAAGCGUUGUUCGGAAUUACUGGGCGUAAAGGGCUCGUAGGUGGCCAACUAAGUCAUACGUGAAAUCCCUCGGCUUAACCGGGGAACUGCGUCUGAUACUGGAUGGCUUGAGAUUGGGAGAGGGAUGCGGAAUUCCAGGUGUAGCGGUGAAAUGCGUAGAUAUCUGGAGGAACACCGGUGGCGAAGGCGGCAUCCUGGACCAACAUUGACACUGAGGAGCGAAAGCCAGGGGAGCAAACGGG
This 253-nucleotide ribosomal RNA is filed under the name uncultured bacterium. RNAcentral's name for it is "partial 16S ribosomal RNA". It matches the Rfam family "Bacterial small subunit ribosomal RNA", at positions 524 to 776 of the family's 1533-position model. The record is from RNAcentral.